Molecule: ribosomal RNA, 253 nt
Filed under: uncultured bacterium
Lineage: Bacteria
Description: partial 16S ribosomal RNA
Rfam family: Bacterial small subunit ribosomal RNA
Source: RNAcentral
GACGAACCGUGCGAACGUUGUUCGGAAUCACUGGGCUUAAAGGGCGCGUAGGCGGACGACCAAGUCGGGGGUGAAAUCUUUCGGCUCAACCGGAAAAUAGCCUUCGAUACUGGCCGUCUAGAGGGAGGUAGGGGCGUGUGGAACUUCCGGUGGAGCGGUGAAAUGCGUUGAUAUCGGAAGGAACUCCGGUGGCGAAAGCGACACGCUGGAUCUCUUCUGACGCUGAGGCGCGAAAGCCAGGGGAGCGAACGGG